CAGGGGAACUGGACUGGAACAUUUUGUAGAAUAACCUUUAUUUCUAUCAGAUAGAAGAAAGGACUACACAUAUUUUUUCUUCAAAAUAUUUAAAUGUUUUAGAAAUGAAUAAUAUCAGGAAAAGUAAACCAGGGAGGCAGCUAGGUGUAGACUUCACCACAGGGGGUGUCUUACAUGUGCCUUUAUUUCUGUCUUAGUAAUCAUUCUAGAAAUGACUCACCAAGCUCUCAAGCCUCAGAGCACCACCAAGCAGACAGCUGCUAGCUUCCUGCAUCAACAGGACCAAGGACUACUGUGGUCCCAGAGGUAACUGACUCUGGUGGGAAGGAACUGUAUUGGACUCUGCCAAGGGGACCUUCUGGAUGAAUGAGGAACUGGGGUACUAUGCUGACAGACUCCCACCUCCUGCUGCUGCGCUCACCUACCUUGGAGAUCCCUGAAAUUAUGAUGGUGCUUUUCUUCCGUGGGGACUUCAGUUUCAGCUUUGAGGACUCGCUGAGCUGCCGAAUGGCAACUUCAGCCACAGGAUCUGAGCUGUUCAGUACCAACAGUUCUGCCAGAAAGAAGGUAGCACUGAGUUCAGUAGCAAACUUAACAAGCUCCAAGCAAAGCCCCAGAACAGGGGGCAGGAUAGUCUAUAAGCAGUGGUCGGCAGGCAUUUGGAAGAAGGAGGGAGAAAGUAAGUUGGGGUUUUUUUCCCAACUUAUCUCCGCAUAAAGUAGAAGCAGACAGGAGCCACAUGUAAAUGAACAGGCAAGGCCUGGUUCUGGUAAAACUUUAUUUUCGGAAAC
Molecule: long non-coding RNA, 791 nt
Filed under: Rattus norvegicus (Norway rat)
Lineage: Eukaryota; Metazoa; Chordata; Mammalia; Rodentia; Muridae
Description: long non-coding RNA NONRATT006506
Source: RNAcentral